GAUGAACGCUGGCGGCGUGCCUAAUACAUGCAAGUCGAGCGAACGGACGAGAAGCUUGCUUCUCUGAUGUUAGCGGCGGACGGGUGAGUAACACGUGGAUAACCUACCUAUAAGACUGGGAUAACUUCGGGAAACCGGAGCUAAUACCGGAUAAUAUUUUGAACCGCAUGGUUCAAAAGUGAAAGACGGUCUUGCUGUCACUUAUAGAUGGAUCCGCGCUGCAUUAGCUAGUUGGUAAGGUAACGGCUUACCAAGGCAACGAUGCAUAGCCGACCUGAGAGGGUGAUCGGCCACACUGGAACUGAGACACGGUCCAGACUCCUACGGGAGGCAGCAGUAGGGAAUCUUCCGCAAUGGGCGAAAGCCUGACGGAGCAACGCCGCGUGAGUGAUGAAGGUCUUCGGAUCGUAAAACUCUGUUAUUAGGGAAGAACAUAUGUGUAAGUAACUGUGCACAUCUUGACGGUACCUAAUCAGAAAGCCACGGCUAACUACGUGCCAGCAGCCGCGGUAAUACGUAGGUGGCAAGCGUUAUCCGGAAUUAUUGGGCGUAAAGCGCGCGUAGGCGGUUUUUUAAGUCUGAUGUGAAAGCCCACGGCUCAACCGUGGAGGGUCAUUGGAAACUGGAAAACUUGAGUGCAGAAGAGGAAAGUGGAAUUCCAUGUGUAGCGGUGAAAUGCGCAGAGAUAUGGAGGAACACCAGUGGCGAAGGCGACUUUCUGGUCUGUAACUGACGCUGAUGUGCGAAAGCGUGGGGAUCAAACAGGAUUAGAUACCCUGGUAGUCCACGCCGUAAACGAUGAGUGCUAAGUGUUAGGGGGUUUCCGCCCCUUAGUGCUGCAGCUAACGCAUUAAGCACUCCGCCUGGGGAGUACGACCGCAAGGUUGAAACUCAAAGGAAUUGACGGGGACCCGCACAAGCGGUGGAGCAUGUGGUUUAAUUCGAAGCAACGCGAAGAACCUUACCAAAUCUUGACAUCCUUUGACAACUCUAGAGAUAGAGCCUUCCCCUUCGGGGGACAAAGUGACAGGUGGUGCAUGGUUGUCGUCAGCUCGUGUCGUGAGGUGUUGGGUUAAGUCCCGCAACGAGCGCAACCCUUAAGCUUGGUUGCCAUCAUUAAGUUGGGCACUCUAAGUUGACUGCCGGUGACAAACCGGAGGAAGGUGGGGAUGACGUCAAAUCAUCAUGCCCCUUAUGAUUUGGGCUACACACGUGCUACAAUGGACAAUACAAAGGGCAGCGAAACCGCGAGGUCAAGCAAAUCCCAUAAAGUUGUUCUCAGUUCGGAUUGUAGUCUGCAACUCGACUACAUGAAGCUGGAAUCGCUAGUAAUCGUAGAUCAGCAUGCUACGGUGAAUACGUUCCCGGGUCU
RNAcentral lists this ribosomal RNA (1372 nucleotides) under uncultured bacterium. RNAcentral describes it as "bacterial SSU rRNA". It matches the Rfam family "Bacterial small subunit ribosomal RNA", at positions 28 to 1381 of the family's 1533-position model. The record is from RNAcentral.